RNAcentral lists this ribosomal RNA (159 nucleotides) under Triticum aestivum (bread wheat). Its description in RNAcentral is "partial small subunit ribosomal RNA". Lineage: Eukaryota; Viridiplantae; Streptophyta; Magnoliopsida; Poales; Poaceae. The record is from RNAcentral.
UCGAACAUACCUUGUCUCCACAUUGGAUCCAAAACAGAAUCAGAGGGAUCAAAAACUGCUAAUUCAUAUAAAGCCAUUGAGUCAGCCCAACCAGCUCUAGCUGUGUGCAUUAUAUGCACCGCAAGCAAUCGACCCGGAUCAUUCAAUGCGACAGUAUGA